RNAcentral lists this long non-coding RNA (307 nucleotides) under Pan troglodytes (chimpanzee). RNAcentral describes it as "long non-coding RNA NONPTRT014046". The record is from RNAcentral. Lineage: Eukaryota; Metazoa; Chordata; Mammalia; Primates; Hominidae.
GGUUCAUACAUCUCUUCCCAUAAAGAGAGUUUUUUUGUUGUUGUUUGUUGGUUUGUUUGUUUUUGAGAUAGAGUCUUGCUCCGUUGCCCAGGCUGAAGUGCAGUGGCAUGAUCGGCUGACUGUAAGCUCCGCCUCCUGGGUUCAUGCCAUUCUCCUGCCUCAGCCUCCCGAGUAGCUGGGACUACAGGCACCCGCUACCACGCCUGGCUAAUUUUUUGUAUUUUUAGUAGAGAUGGGGUUUCUUUAACAUUCAAUGGUUAGGGCAAUUCCCAAUUCAGUCUGUGAUUCUUUCGCCUGUGCAUGAUUG